UAGUACUAGUUAUACAGUCUAUCAACUAUAGCUUCAAAAUGGUUUAGAGCUUCAUCGUCAUUCUGCACUUUCUUCGUUUUUUUAGGACUCCUGGACCCUUGAAGAUAUCACUUUUUUGGCAAGUAAAUAUAGCAGAGGAGAGAUUUUUUUUUUUGAAGCUAUAGCAGAGGAGAGAUGAGAUAUCCUUAGUGGGUUUCUUUUAAUAUUCCAUAUAGCCCAUACGCGGAUUAUUGACAAUGAUAGAGAACCC
RNAcentral lists this long non-coding RNA (250 nucleotides) under Elaeis guineensis (African oil palm). RNAcentral describes it as "long non-coding RNA (EGUI_LNC006652)". Lineage: Eukaryota; Viridiplantae; Streptophyta; Magnoliopsida; Arecales; Arecaceae. The record is from RNAcentral.